GUGCCUGUAGUUCAGGGGUAGAGCACCAGAUUGUGGAUCUGGUUGUCGUGGGUUCGAAACCCACCAGGCACCCCU
Molecule: transfer RNA, 75 nt
Filed under: Treponema brennaborense DSM 12168
Lineage: Bacteria; Pseudomonadati; Spirochaetota; Spirochaetia; Treponematales; Treponemataceae
Also listed under: 1 other name
Description: tRNA-His
Rfam family: tRNA
About the family: Transfer RNA (tRNA) molecules are approximately 80 nucleotides in length. Their secondary structure includes four short double-helical elements and three loops (D, anti-codon, and T loops).
Source: RNAcentral